UCUCCAGUCCCGUUCCCGUGCUUCUCUUCACGUGGAAUCGAGCCGAAGCUCUCUAGACUCGGGCAAGAGGAGGUUUUGACUAGGCCGAUUGGCAUCCCCUCCUUUCACACUACGACAUUGGCAAGCCUUCCGCCCUAGCUCCCUCCGGAUCGCUCCCUCUCUCGUUUUCUCGCUGGAUUCGCACAAUCCAGAGUCUCGGAACUCUCUGUUCGCACGCCUCCUCUAGAUAUGUCCACUUUUAGCUUUACCACGACAUACACAUCAGACUCAAAUGACAUUGAUUGUGACAUUUUGUGAGAGGGUUCAUUUCAUAAGUAUGGAUGAACUGUAUACAUUUUCUUAAGCGAAUUUUCAUAUAUGAGGCUAUCAAAAUUUCAUAUGAUUCAUGUCAACUUCUUUUUGUGGUCUAUGUUAGAAAAUCUAUACAUGUGUGUGAUGAAG
Molecule: long non-coding RNA, 441 nt
Organism: Dendrobium catenatum
Lineage: Eukaryota; Viridiplantae; Streptophyta; Magnoliopsida; Asparagales; Orchidaceae
Exons: 2
Source: RefSeq, a predicted model, not a curated record